GUUUAACGGCUGUUUUUUUUUUUACAAUCAUCAACCCCCACCCCCCCUCUUCCUUUGCACACGGCACGUAGAGAGCGAAGGGGGCGGGACAAGGCGUCGCUCCGCGUAGGAGAGAAGAGUGUGGAGUGACUACCCUUUUGACCAUUAAACGACAAAAGCGGUCGUACAGGAGGCGGUAUCAACUGAGUAACAGCACUUUGAACCAAUCGGGAAGAAGGAGAGUUUCCCGCCCAUAUUGUCUCCCCCUCCCCUGCUUGUUUGUUUGCGCGGAGAGAGAAAAAUGGAGGUGGCGGCCUGCGCGGGGGAGGGGUGUUCUUUCCCUCAUAUUCGAGGCGAGCGCUCGGAGGGUCUCUAGCCUGCGGACCUCAUUAAGUCCCGCCAUUAGACAAUCGCGCCUUCUAUUUCGUCUGAAAACGGAAGACAUCAGGGGGAGGCGCUUCCACUCCCCCCCCCCGCCGCCAAACUGCACAAACCAGGCGAAAAGGCUCCCCUGACGCAGGCGGGAGACCGCGCGGGCGCCUGGCAGAGCCCCUGGCCAAGGUCUCUCUUGUAGGCCGCCCUGCGGUCCUCGGUUGGAUGAAGGGCAGAGUAGAAACGUAGCAGCAGCAGCAGCUCCCCCUGCCGCGCCUUCUUCCGUGGAAGGAAGCCCCCACCAAGGUCCUUCUGAGGAAACGGCUCUCUUUGCGCCCAGCGCCCAGCGCCUCGCCGCAGCCCGGCUCGGCUUUACUCAGGUGUAGCGUCAAGUGAGAGAGACUUACUCCCACGAAAAUGCGCAAUGCAUUGCAUCCUUGCUAUUUAUCCUGCCCUUCUAUACAUACACAUACGCUUGGAGGGGCAUCCUGUGAGCUGGAAAAGUAUCUGGUCGGUUUAUUACAGGAAUAAUAACAGGGGGGGCAUGUGUGCUUCUCCCCAUUUAUUCUCACAACAACCCUGUGAGGUGUGCAACUCUAAUAUUUUGAUUGAAUAGUCUGAGGACAGUCUGUAUUAAGUGAAAGACAUUUAAGGAGUGAGAGCAAUAGACUAUUAGAUAAUGGCAGCUUCACCAUCAAUAGCCACAAGAAUAUCUACAGAUCAACUGGCGUUUGGUCAGCCGGCCGAUUUGCCUGUGAGCGUACUUCCAACAGAAUUGGAUAUUGCUAAGUGCUUCUUGCAUGAGAAACAAAAAUGGAUGAUUGAAAAGUCUGCAAAAAAGGAACCAGACAAUUCUAUUAUUGCAGAGAUUGUUGUGUCGAAAGUUGAAAGUGUUUACAAACGUGCAUCCAUACCAACAGUCCGAAAAGACACAAUUAAGGCCCGUGUUCUGAAAGUGUAUGAAAAGCGUCAAAGCAUAAUCAGAAUACCAGCUGCCAGAAGGUAUAAGAAUCCAAAGUGUCCAAAUCCCUAUGAUCUUUCAGACUUCUUCAAAAAUAAGAAAUAUGUGUUUCUGAAAGGAAUUUCCUGUUUGUUCGAAGUUGUUGACAAUGAGAAUGUGCCAAAGGUAGAGAGUGAAUUUCUCAAAGAUCAGCGAUCCGUUCGGAAGAUGACCAUAAGUAGUACAGUGGAUAAAGGCUACCAGGAAACAACAGCAGAAAGAGUUAAGUAAGAAAGCAGAGGGAACCAGGGCUGCACAGGAAUGACAACAAUGAGAAUCUCACUUUCAAAUUGUUGCUGCUGAUAAUGUUGAUAUUGUUGAUACUGGUGACUGUGGUGAAGAUAAAGUUGAAACAAUAGAGGAAGAUAUUUGUCCUGCAAAUAAUUCAGACUUAUUUUUUAAGACUUAUUAAUUAAGACCUAAAUUUAAGUGUCACACAUAAAUGGUGAAGAGAGCUGUCAAGGAGGUAACAAAAGCAAGCCAGAAUGUAGUUGGUAUGAAGUGAUGUGAUGCAACUAUAAAGACAUCAAUGGAGAAUUGGGCCAAAUACCCGAAACAGGAAUCGAAGGAUUUUGUCCAAAAAUAGUUCACAUUCACAGCUUUAUUUUUAAAUUUGUUCUUGAAGUAAUGUAAAUGUAACUUUACAUGUCAUUAUUAGUAUUAAGUUAUGUGAUAAUAAAAGUUGGUAUUCAAUAUUCACGUAUCCAGUUGCUAAAAUGUAGAAAUAAUAAUGUUGUAGGAUCGUAUGAGUCACAUUUGGGUUUAAACGUCAAUACUAUCAUCAUUAAAAGGGUUUUUUUUAAAAAAAAAAAAGUACUGGUGUAUCAAUUUGUAUUCUGCAUCUUUUAUUGUUCUUUUAAAAAAUGCAAUUCCUGCAAAAUAAAGCUGAAUUGGUCAUAAAGUGA
Non-coding RNA from Podarcis muralis (Common wall lizard), 2256 nucleotides. The record is from RefSeq and is a predicted model, not a curated record. Lineage: Eukaryota; Metazoa; Chordata; Lepidosauria; Squamata; Lacertidae.